This is a long non-coding RNA of Heterocephalus glaber (naked mole-rat), 2319 nucleotides long. RefSeq lists it as uncharacterized. Lineage: Eukaryota; Metazoa; Chordata; Mammalia; Rodentia; Bathyergidae. The record is from RefSeq and is a predicted model, not a curated record.
CGGUGUGCAGACACUCACUGUCUUGUAAGCACUGUUCUCCUAGCAGCGCUGUUGUUCCUUCCUCCCUCCUUUCCACCUCAUGUGACAGCCGAGCUCAGAGGGGACCCCGUCCUCCAGGCAGGCCCUGCACACUAUGCCUGCUGUCUACUUCCUGUCUCCCCUCUUUCCUCUCUAGAGGCCUUAGGGGUUGUUGACCUCUUAAUCAUCAUGGUGCAAAUAACACUCAGCAACAUAUUGGAGCAGAGAAGGAAUCAGUGCCUCCUGCCAGGCCACCCAACUCCUCUAUCCAAACCUGGUCCUUUCAGCACCCAUCAAGGAGGGCCCGGCCCCAAGGAGCGAGAGUCCAUGGGAGUCUCCUGUUGGUCCGAGUGCAGACCUCCAGUGGAGAGUGAGAGGGAGGCAGUGUCCUAGGAGCUCUGGGUCAUCAGUGUCUGCUCUUUUGUUCUCUGCAACCACUCUGCACAGGAGAUUCUGUUGGCCCACUAGCAUAAUGGAUGGGAAGCAGGGCACCAAGGGGCGAUGCCUGCCCGGAUCUUGCAGCUGCUGAGCAGGGAGAUGAAAUGCCUGCUGGACCUGGGAUCUGGGGCCUCCAGAGACCCAUAUGCUCAACUCCUCUGAUGCACCGCCUCAGCCAUCAUGAAGGAAACUGCCUCUUCCCCAUGUGUGCCUCCCUGGGUGCCCAGCGGAGAGCCUUCGCCAGCCUCCCAUGUGUGCACAAAGAAGUGAAGUGAAAAAGGAGCAAAUGAAGGGUCCUGUGGUCACAGCAGUUGGUCUGGGCUGCACAAACCACUUCUUCCAGGAAGUGCUGUGCUUCACGUCCCUCUCAGCAAUGAUGGCCUUCUAAGUCACGCCACUAUGUGGACCGAGGCCGCACAGGUGUGGCCUCUCACACUCACCAUGGGCUCUGCCCUGCCCACAUCCACUGUGCUUUCCCUUGAUCAGCUAAUCACUGCAGUCUACCAGGCUCUCCAUUGCCAGCCUCAGCCACCACGUGCCCAGGGAGGAAACGGAGGGGCGCACUGGACUCUUCUGUGGUAAAUGCUCCCUCCUUCUCUCCUCGAUUUCCACAGGACUGUCCUUACUCCAGACUUCUCCUGAAAGAAUGUCUACUCUCAGGCACAGCGUGGCCUGCUUUCUUCACCCCAACAUGGCAGGCGGUGGGAGCAACACAUGGAAUUGCUCUUCUUAUAGCUGCUAUCUCCUCAGUAAGAUGGGAAGCAAGGUCUUGAGCUGGAAGUGACCAUGAGGAAGGAGUUGUUGGAGUUUUGAAGGAACUCCAAAGGGAGAAGUUUGAAAUCAUUAGGAUUGGGGAGUGAACACAGAAGAAAUAACACGGUGGCUUGCCAGGUGACAGUUAGUGUGCAACUGUCUUCUCAGGCUAUGGUCACACACAGGUGUGGUGGCAGAGUAGGUGAAGGGUCAUCUUUAAUUAGGGCUGGGUUUGCCAGCACUGUAAUGACUCAGAUGAGAAAUCCCAUGCCAUGGAGCAACAAGAGGAAAAGACAUGAGUGCUAGACAGGGUGGCAUGGAAGCCCAGUGGCCCUGAGGGCCUAACUUUGCUGGCAAGAGUCUGAUGAUAGAUUUGACAUCGGGACUGUCCCAGAACACCUCUUCCAGAAAGCGCCCUGCCCCACCUCUGGUGACGUGGGUUAGUCACUCUCUCCUGUGGUUCCCAGCACCGUGCUCACCUCUGCCCUAUUUUAGUGCUUGAUUUACUUGCGUAUCUUCCUACCGAACAGUGAGCAUAUGGAGGAAGGACUAGGUCUUAUAUCGCUUGUAUCAGACAUAAGAAAGCCCACAAAGCAAUAGGACACAUUGCAUUAAUAGAACCCAGACCGGGUUCUGUGAUCAUCAUAAGUCCUCGUAUUUUUAUAGCAAUUUACAGGAUCAUUUUCACUUCUGUGGUCUUGUUUUAACCUUUCAACAGCCCUGCAAAAUAGCAAAUCAUUCAUUCGUUCACUCACUUAUCUAAGACACUUGAUGUGUUAGGAACUAAUUUAGGCACUGGAAUAUAGGAAAAGAGAACAAAAACCGCUCACCUCUUGGAGCUUAGGUUUCUGCAGAAGGUACUGCUGUGCCUGUGUACAGACGGGCAGGCUGAGGUUAGCUCAGAGGGGCUAAGCCACAUGGCCAAGGUCAAAGGCUUCUGGGUCAGAGAGUUCAAAUUUGGGCACAGGGCUGGUUCGAGGAGCGUGUGUUUCCCCACAACAGCUACCUUGCAGAUCAUGGGCUCAACUAUGAGGUAUCUUUCUUUUUUCUUUUUUUCUCCUGACUUAACAACAAAUAAAAGAGGAGUUGGCAGAGAUCCACACCCUGGAA